Molecule: non-coding RNA, 1463 nt
Organism: Anas platyrhynchos (mallard)
Lineage: Eukaryota; Metazoa; Chordata; Aves; Anseriformes; Anatidae
Source: RefSeq, a predicted model, not a curated record
CAAAGACUGAUGUGCACUCUUACCUCCUGUCUGUGAUGGGCACCUCACAAGUAGUUAACACAAGCACGGCCCUGCUGAGCCUGGACCCAUGGUUGUAAAGGGUGCCUUAUGAGAUUUGGGCUUAAAGGUAUAUGGUUUCUUUGAUCUUGUAAAAUCUGCAUCAGGCCAUGGAAGGAAACAUUUGACUUCAGGACUUCUGUUGUCCAGGUAUCAAGCAACACUCAUAUCCAGGCUGAAUAAAUCCUUCGACGGCAUUCUUUGCGCGUGGCUGUUUGAUGUGCUUCCAGCAGCUUCAAACACAGGAGGCAUCCAAACUGUAAAGAGCCAAAACGGCCGAAACUCCACCGUGGCAGGAGCCUUGAACAGCAGCGGGGCAGGCUGGCAGCGCCUUGCAGGACCAAAGAUGCUCACCCAGCAGGCAAGGAGACAGCUGAAUCCCUCUGCUCUCCCGUGACGUGGCAGUGCUGGGAGUGCCUUUCUUAGCGUGGACUUUAUUAAGCUGCUCUAAACCAACAAGCCAAGCUCCCCACCAGCAUUCGACCGCUGCGCCAAGAGGAAAAUAAUGAGGUUAAAAGCACUGCACAGCAGAAACAUAUGGGACUACAAAGAGGUUGGGAUUGCCAGAGAGUCCAGCACGGUCAUAUCAGGGUGCUAGGGAUGGUGCUACUGCAGUGUUUGUUGAGGCUGGUGGAGGCGAUAUUUGGCUGGUGGCCGUGAGCACCUUCCUUGGACAGAAAGCGAUACAUCUGAUCAGCUUUGGCCACUUCUGAGUGCCACAGGAGCCUGGGGAGCCCAGCUUUCUCCUUUGCUUUGUCCUCUGACUUCAGAGCGUGGCUUUCCUGUUUAGUUCCCUUCUGUGUUUAUAACGGGCCAAACUGCCCACAUACUGGGUGAGGAUGCUUCUGAGUGGAGAGAUUUAGGAGUUUUGAAUAAAGCAGCUCUUGUUAAAAAUGCUGAUUUGUCAAAGACAACUUUUUAUUUCCCAUAAGAACGUGGGCAUUUAUUUUAUUUGAUUUGAUAAAAGUGUUUAUAGGAAGCAUCUCUUCAAACCCAGAAGACUAAAAGCAGACCCUCGCCAAGGACGAGAGAAUUUGAGGAUGAGUGAAGAGAGUCAUUGUUCCUUGCUGUUUGUCCCAGACUCUUUCUUCAUUUCUCAUGCCUGCAUAAUGGGAAGUGCAUGAGGUUUGCUACUGCCCCUGCUGAACUGUGGUGCGGAUAGACUUUGUCUUCCUCAGCUAGCAUUCUGUCACCUUUCAAGAGGGAAAAAUUCAUUUUAAAAACAAAGAUCCCAAGUAAGAAACCUCAAAUAAUUGUAGGAAACCACCACAGAGGUAUACAAUAUCCAGCUGAAGACCUUGUUGAAAACCGAACAGAUUAUGCUUCUUAUAUGUGGUUAAACUGUGCCAUUAAUGUUAAAAACUGUUCAAAGCACAAAAUAAAUUCUGAUUUUUUUUUCUGUCAAA